Molecule: ribosomal RNA, 247 nt
Filed under: uncultured bacterium
Lineage: Bacteria
Description: partial 16S ribosomal RNA
Rfam family: Bacterial small subunit ribosomal RNA
Source: RNAcentral
UUGGCGACCGGCGCACGGGUGAGUAACGCGUAUGCAACUUACCUAUCAGAGGGGGAUAGCCCGGCGAAAGUCGGAUUAAUACCCCAUGAAACAGGGGUCCCGCAUGGGAAUAUUUGUUAAAGAUUCAUCGCUGAUAGAUAGGCAUGCGUUCCAUUAGGCAGUUGGCGGGGUAACGGCCCACCAAACCGACGAUGGAUAGGGGUUCUGAGAGGAAGGUCCCCCACAUUGGUACUGAGACACGGACCAA